This 484-nucleotide ribosomal RNA is filed under the name uncultured bacterium. RNAcentral describes it as "partial 16S ribosomal RNA". It matches the Rfam family "Bacterial small subunit ribosomal RNA", at positions 30 to 507 of the family's 1533-position model. The record is from RNAcentral.
AUUGAACGCUGGCGGCAGGCCUAACACAUGCAAGUCGAGCGGAUGAAGGGAGCUUGCUCCUGGAUUCAGCGGCGGACGGGUGAGUAAUGCCUAGGAAUCUGCCUGGUAGUGGGGGAUAACGUCCGGAAACGGGCGCUAAUACCGCAUACGUCCUGAGGGAGAAAGUGGGGGAGCUUCGGACCUCACGCUAUCAGAUGAGCCUAGGUCGGAUUAGCUAGUUGGUGGGGUAAAGGCCUACCAAGGCGACGAUCCGUAACUGGUCUGAGAGGAUGAUCAGUCACACUGGAACUGAGACACGGUCCAGACUCCUACGGGAGGCAGCAGUGGGGAAUAUUGGACAAUGGGCGAAAGCCUGAUCCAGCCAUGCCGCGUGUGUGAAGAAGGUCUUCGGAUUGUAAAGCACUUUAAGUUGGGAGGAAGGUCAGUAAGUUAAUACCUUGCUGUUUUGACGUUACCAACAGAAUAAGCACCGGCUAACUUCGUG